Molecule: ribosomal RNA, 386 nt
Filed under: uncultured bacterium
Lineage: Bacteria
Description: bacterial SSU rRNA
Rfam family: Bacterial small subunit ribosomal RNA
Source: RNAcentral
AUUGAACGCUGGCGGCAUGCCUUACACAUGCAAGUCGAACGGCAGCACGGGAGCAAUCCUGGUGGCGAGUGGCGAACGGGUGAGUAAUAUAUCGGAACGUGCCCAGUCGUGGGGAUAACGUAGCGAAAGCUACGCUAAUACCGCAUACGAUCUAUGGAUGAAAGACGGGGGAGUCGCAAGACCUCGCGCGAUUGGAGCGGCCGAUAUCAGAUUAGGUAGUUGGUGAGGUAAGGCGUCACCAAGCCGACGAUCUGUAGCUGGUCUGAGAGGACGACCAGCCACACUGGGACUGAGACACGGCCCAGACUCCUACGGGAGGCAGCAGUGGGGAAGUUUUUGGUACAGUGGGCGCAAGCCUGAUCCAGCAAUGCCGCGUGCAGGAUGAA